AGAAUCAACGCUGGCGGCGUGCCUAACACAUGCAAGUCGAACGAGAAAGUGGAGCAAUCCAUGAGUAAAGUGGCGCACGGGUGAGUAACACGUGACUAACCUACCCUUGAGUGGGGGAUAACCUAGAGAAAUCUGGGCUAAAUACCGCAUAAUACCUUCGGGUCAAAGGAGCAAUUCGCUUAAGGAGGGGUCGCGGCCGAUUAGUUAGUUGGCGGGGUAAUGGCCCACCAAGACUGUGAUCGGUA
Molecule: ribosomal RNA, 245 nt
Filed under: uncultured bacterium
Lineage: Bacteria
Description: partial small subunit ribosomal RNA
Rfam family: Bacterial small subunit ribosomal RNA
Source: RNAcentral